GAUGAAGAACGCAGCGAAAUGCGAUAAGUAAUGUGAAUUGCAGAAUUCAGUGAAUCAUCGAAUCUUUGAACGCACAUUGCGCCCGCCAGUAUUCUGGCGGGCAUGCCUGUUCGAGCGUCAUUUCAACCAUCAAGCCCCCGGCUUGUGUUGGGGACCUGCGGCUGCCGCAGGCCCUGAAAUGCAGUGGCGGGCUCGCUGUCACUCCGAGCGUAGUAGUUACAUCUCGCUCUGGGCGUGCUGCGGGUUCCGGCCGUUAAAAGCCUUAUUUACCCAAGGUUGACCUCGGAUCAGGUAGGAAGACCCGCUGAACUUAAGCAUAUCAAUAGCGGAGGA
RNAcentral lists this unclassified non-coding RNA (333 nucleotides) under soil metagenome. RNAcentral's name for it is "partial contains 5.8S ribosomal RNA, internal transcribed spacer 2, and large subunit ribosomal RNA". The stretch from base 1 to 120 matches the Rfam family "5.8S ribosomal RNA", at positions 35 to 154 of the family's 154-position model. The record is from RNAcentral.